GAACGCGAAGAACUUACUACUCUUGACAUCCAUGGAAUCUUGUAGAGAUAUGAGAGUGCCUUCGGGAACCAUGAGACAGGUGCUGCAUGGCUGUCGUCAGCUCGUGUUGUGAAAUGUUGGGUUAAGUCCCGCAACGAGCGCAACCUUAUCCUUUGUUGCCAGCGAUUAGGUCGGGAACUCAAAGGAGACUGCCGGUGAUAAACCGGAGGAAGGUGGGGAUGACGUCAAGUCAUCAUGGCCUUACGAGUAGGGCUACACACGUGCUACAAUGGCGUAUACAGAGGGCGACGAAGCCGCGAGGUGGAGUGAAUCUCACAAAGUACGUCUAAGUCCGGAUUGGAGUCUGCAACUCGACUCCAUGAAGUCGGAAUCGCUAGUAAUCGCGAAUCAGAAUGUCGCGGUGAAUACGUUCCCGGGUCUUGUACACACC
RNAcentral lists this ribosomal RNA (430 nucleotides) under uncultured bacterium. Its description in RNAcentral is "bacterial SSU rRNA". It matches the Rfam family "Bacterial small subunit ribosomal RNA", at positions 957 to 1391 of the family's 1533-position model. The record is from RNAcentral.